AACGCAACUUGCACUCUACCUCGGUAGAGUAUGCCUGUUUGAGAAUCUAUAGUAUUCUUCAGCAAGUUUUGCUGAGAUUUGGGCUCUUCAGCAAUGAAUUGCCUUAAACCUAUAGCUCAAGCCAUUGACAUCAAUGCCUGAGAAAACAAGUGUAUGAAGGGUUUACCCACUUCCUUGAAUUUGAAGGUAGUCUCUGGAAAGAGUCCAACAAUCAAGUGCUUGCACUGAACCCUUGGUCUCAAAUCAGGUAGGAAGACCCGCUGAACUUAA
RNAcentral lists this unclassified non-coding RNA (270 nucleotides) under uncultured fungus. RNAcentral describes it as "partial contains 5.8S ribosomal RNA, internal transcribed spacer 2, and large subunit ribosomal RNA". Lineage: Eukaryota; Fungi. The record is from RNAcentral.